This 189-nucleotide long non-coding RNA is filed under the name Mustela putorius furo (domestic ferret). RNAcentral describes it as "lncRNA (ENSMPUG00000027039.1)". Lineage: Eukaryota; Metazoa; Chordata; Mammalia; Carnivora; Mustelidae. The record is from RNAcentral.
CUCUAAAGGACAGCAGAUUGAGGUUUGAAGCUCUGGAAUGGAACUCUUUUCUGCCAGAGGGUAGAGCAGGAGCUUUGAGCAGCUGAAGAAAGGAACCUGCAAAGAGUCUAUUUGAGUCAGGGAGUAGUCAAGAGACACAGAGGAAGCAGAGGUAAGGAGAAAGAAAAGAAGAGAGAAAGUACGUUUAUG